GGCCAUGCAGGCUUCUCCCUCAAGCAUGGUCAGCAUGCAGGGGUGGGAAGCAAACAGGGCGAUGCUCUGAGGUGGCUGUUACCAGAGGAAAACAGUAAGAACGUUGGGUAAUAGCUGCAUCUUGUUUGGAUUAGAGCUAUGUUCCCUUUUGAAUCCUGAGGUUAAAACUGGAGGUAUUGAAGACCUCAGGCUGCCAUUUAUACAUGGACAGGAGCUCUUUGGUUAACUCCUUCCCUCUGACUUUUUAAGGUUUUAUCAUAUUUAAAAGAAAUUCCAUUGAAAUGUUUUAGUUGUGAAUUGUUGAGCUAAAUUAAUUCUUAACUAAAACCAGAAUUUCCCUUUUAAUUUUAACUGGAACAAAAUCCUUACUCUCCUGUUGCAAUUGCUCUGGAUAAUUAUGUGAAGUCAUGGCAGUAUGAGUGGAUACCCAGACAGUUACUUCCCAGAGGGAGGUGGUUGUGUUUUAAGCAAAGCCUAUUGUAACUUCAGAGUCCAGGUGGGGCACACAGUGUUGGGUGAGUUCACAUUUGGAUGGGAUUUAUAUCUCCGUUUACUGUCUACCGAAGUCACCGUUUCACAGGGGCGUGGUUCCUCACUUCUUGCUGUUGAUAGAUCUGUGCUGUUUGCUUUAUUAACUCACAAAUUCACUGUUGAGCAUUUUCAGUUGAAUUUAUUUUGUGAAAUAAUUCAAGUAGCGUGUUGACUAGAUGUACUGGUUUGGUUGUGAGGUGGGGAUGUGGUUGACCUCUGUCUUAUUUGGCUGUGAACAAUCUCCAUGGGAGCAUUCAUGCUCUUUGUAAGCACUUGGGCGUGCUGAUACCAACUCACAGUUAAGUUUUGUUGUUGCUCCUUUUUUUUUUUUUUCAUUUCAAUUUUAGACCAUGAGAAUUUGCACCAAGGCUCCCCUGGUUUGAGUGGAGCUGCCUGGAUCAAACGCUGCCUGCUCUGCCCUGGCUGUUUUCUGUGGUUUGGUGUUCCUGGGAUAAUUGGUUUCUCUGUGACACACUGGGACUGGGCUCCGGUUCGGUGCCUUUUCCACCAGGCAAAGGUCUUUUUUAAGAGAUUAAAUUUCUAUAUGCGCUGGACUAUGUGUUUGCCAGUCUGACAUCAUUUUUUAGGAGUUCCAACAUCGCCACCAAAAUGCACGAAGAGGCCAAUUU
RNAcentral lists this long non-coding RNA (1160 nucleotides) under Gallus gallus (chicken). The record is from RNAcentral. Lineage: Eukaryota; Metazoa; Chordata; Aves; Galliformes; Phasianidae.